This 437-nucleotide ribosomal RNA is filed under the name uncultured Anaerolineaceae bacterium. RNAcentral describes it as "bacterial SSU rRNA". It matches the Rfam family "Bacterial small subunit ribosomal RNA", at positions 931 to 1382 of the family's 1533-position model. The record is from RNAcentral. Lineage: Bacteria; Bacillati; Chloroflexota; Anaerolineae; Anaerolineales; Anaerolineaceae.
GGUGGAUGAUGUGGAUUAAUUCGAUGCAACGCGAAAAACCUUACCUACCCUUUGACAUGUCUGGAACCUUGCUGAGAGCGAGGGUGCCUUCGGGAGCCAGAACACAGGUGCUGCAUGGCUGUCGUCAGCUCGUGUCGUGAGAUGUUCGGUUAAGUCCGCUAACGAGCGCAACCCUCGUCGUAUGUUAUAUGUGUCAUACGAGACUGCCGGUAAAAAGCCGGAGGAAGGUGAGGAUGAUGUCAAGUCAGCAUGACCUUUAUAUCCAGGGCUACACACACGCUACAAUGGUCUGUACAAUGGGUAGCCAAGCCGCGAGGCGGAGCCAAUCCUGAAAGCAGGCCUCAGUUCAGAUUGCAGUCUGCAACUCGACUGCAUGAAGCCGGAGUUGCUAGUAACCGCAGGUCAGCAAUACUGCGGUGAAUACGUUCCCGGGUCUU